Molecule: long non-coding RNA, 749 nt
Organism: Mizuhopecten yessoensis (Yesso scallop)
Lineage: Eukaryota; Metazoa; Mollusca; Bivalvia; Pectinida; Pectinidae
Exons: 3
Source: RefSeq, a predicted model, not a curated record
CAGAUAUAAAAAACCAACUCGUCAGUGUACAGAUCAUCUUUAUUAUAUACAUUAUGAAAUAUAUAUAACAAAUACAUUAUACAAAUACAUGUCAGCGUUAAGAUGUGCCCGACAAAUAAACAACUAGACAAUAACUGUAUAAAGAAGCAGACGACGAAGAGUGUUAGUAUUAACGACACACUGAUUUUACCUGCUUUUGAUCUAAAGGUAAACAAGCCUAUCACCUGUCAAUCUUCCCUUUGACCAACGACUCUAUUAAAGUUUAUAAGGAAAUGAACAACUGAUAGCAGUUAGGAAAUGUAGCACAUGUCAACAAAUUAGCAUAUUAAUGUCAUUUAUGUUUAUAACUGUUGACGUCUCUUUAUAGUUUAUUGUUGUGGUUAUGUUUCUCUGUCGCUUUUUAUCCUACUUCCAUAUGCCUCACUUAACCGCAAAUGUGAAGCGUCAACAGCGGUAGUUGUCAGGUUAAAAGCCAUGACAGUGUACUGUAACCAUAGUGAUACAGCUCAUGUCUCUAUUAUGUUACUAUAGCGAUACAGGUCAUAUAUGUGUUAUGUUACUAUAGUGAUACAGGUCAUGUCUGUGUAAAGUAACUAUAGUGAUACAGGUCAUGUCUGUGUAAAGUAACUAUAGUUAUACAGGUCAUGUCUGUGUAAAGUAACUAUAGUGAUACAGGUCAUGUCUGUGUAAAGUAACUAUAGUGAUACAGGUCAUGUCUGUGUAAAGUAACUAUAGUGAUACAGGUCAUG